RNAcentral lists this long non-coding RNA (3246 nucleotides) under Oreochromis niloticus (Nile tilapia). RNAcentral's name for it is "lncRNA (ENSONIG00000039854.1)". The record is from RNAcentral. Lineage: Eukaryota; Metazoa; Chordata; Actinopteri; Cichliformes; Cichlidae.
ACAGGCUUUCAUGUUAUUUAUGUCAAAUUCUAACGCUACCAUUUGAAUGUUGCAGCAUAAUACUGGAAUAUUUUACCCAAGUGCAUAGAUUUGGCAUGGACGGAAGGGACAUGUCCCCACCAAUAUCCAGCGAUUAUUGAAUUGUCCCCACCAAUAAUUUGAUCUCUUCGAGUAAAGAAAAACAAACCCGAUAGAAAGAGAGAGAGAAAAAAAGAUCUGUCAACGUCUCAUUAACCUAGAGGUGCAGAAAGAGUUAAAUUACGUUCUCUAGUGGAGUCCUACCUCAUGUGACAAAUAUGGCCACUGUGAUUGGCUGUGCCUUUCAGGGAGCUCGGUUUAGUUUUAUCAGCGGAAAGCCUGCGCUGCGAGGAGGAGAGGAGGAUGGCAGCACAAAGGAAGAACCUGGAUAUAAGAAAGUAUUUUUCAAAGAAACCUGUGACAGAAGAACCAACACAAAGCUCAGAGAGUAAUGGUGAUACAAGAUCACAGGUGGAAUUGGAUGAUGACUUGUUGGUUCAUUACUGUAUUUGAAGCACAUGUGUGACUGCAUGUAUUUGGAAUGUCUCACUGUUAUUUAUCAGGUGACAGAGGCAGCUCUGCCAUGUUGUAGCUCGGACAGAGGUGAAGAGGCGAGGUCACAGGUGACUGACUGAUGUGUUGGUGCCAUAGAUUAACGAGAGGAGAAGGCAUGUGUUUGGCUCCUUCACGUAGUGGCCAUUGAGUUGUUGUGGUGGACACCAGUAGUCCAUGUCUGUUGCUGUAACAGUAGGUCAUGUUUAGAAUAAAAAAUCCCAGCUCACUGAUUUGAUAGGGGCAACAGUGCGCCUAAAAUGUUGCAUAAUUUUGCUGAAAGAUCUUUUACUUUGUGGUAAUCUUAGAUGAGUAGUUUUAUGGACAAAAACCACCAGGUCAUUCAGUGUUCCCUGAAGUUAAGUAAUUAUGCAAAUGUACUGUUUAUAAGAUUGGGGAAACCUGCAGUCAGCUGAGACUGAAGAAGUCACUUGGAUGAGUGACAAAAUGUUUCUCCCACAAAACGCUACGUCCAGAUGAACAGAAUCAACUUUUGGAAAAUUAAUUACCUGGAUGAUUGAGCAUGCAUCAAGACGAUAUAACUGAAGUAAUGUUCUUAAGUCCUUAAAGUCAUAUUCUUUUAUUGUCAUGACUGUAUUUGAAGCUAUUUUUAUUUUUGUAUGAUACCUGAUUUAUAUGGAAUAUGGCUGAAGUAAACUAAAGCCUAAAAUACUUAGUCAGUCAUUUGUUUAAUAGUAAUUUAACAUUAUAUAAUUCACAUAUAAAACUAUGAAUUGUAAUUUUAAAUGGUUUAAAAGCAUGUAGAAUAGCAUAUGUAAGCAAGUAUAUUUCUCCUUUUUUUUAUUAUCAAGAAGCAAAGACAAAAAGGAAAAAAAAAAGAAACAGGGCAGGGUUCGGUGGUUGAAUCAUCCGUCCCCACCAAUGCCAAAACCAAAUCUACGCCUUUGCUUUUACCACUGACAGUUAAAUCCUGCUGAUGAUUCCAUGUUAUGAAAAGGAGUUUGACAGAAGCUAUAGCUGGAAGUAAAAUUAAGAUUGAAGACAUUUCCUUAGUGGGGACUGUCUGCAGUCAUAGUUGAGGUGCAAACACAUACAAACCUGUCCUCUUUGUAAGAAGUUACGUUUGUUAAAGAAUCCACCCUCUAAAUUAGCCUUAAGGAACUUGUGUGAGUCUUUCUUACUGGAGAGAGAUCAGAUAUCUUCUGCAGAGUCUGAGGAUGUCUGCAGUCUGUGCCAGGAGAAACUCAAAAGCUUCUGUUUGAAACAUCAGCCCCGUAAAUUCAGACAUACUGGAGAAGUUUCAUCCACAGCAGGGCUCAGGAGGUCCGACAGAUGUGCCCAAUGUGGGCAUCCUGAGUUACAAUAUCUCGAAAAGGCAACCCCCCAAAAUCCAACAUCAGACACUGUUCAUGUGCUGUAGGUAGUUUUUAGGUCCAUAGCUACUUCUUUUUUCCUCUACUUGUUGAAUAUCCUCCAUUUUUUCAAGGACACACAUCAGAGCUAGAUAAAAUAAUGCUGGUAUAAAAGUGCUUGUUUCUUUGGCAGCCUUACAGGUUUUUGGAAGAAAUGAUGUGUUUUUGCGCCAGGCCGUUGUUAACAAAGAGCCUAAAGAUUUAAAAGGUUUUUCUUUUUUUGUUUUCCUUAGUUGUCUGUUAUGUGCAGACACAACACUGGUUCUUCUCUUAAGAGCAUUUUUUUACAGUUCCAUAUAUAUUUAGACACACAUUUUGUUUUUUUACUUGUUUACGGAAACAUAUUCCAAUUACAGUUAUUUAAUGAACAUGAACAUAGUCUGUAGAUUCUCAGCUUUCUUUUGAGGGUAUCAAUACUCAAAUUGAAUGAAGAGCUUAAGAGUUUCAGCUCCUUAACAUGUGCCAACCUCUUUUUAAAGGGACUAAAAGUAACUGGACAAGUGACUUCAAGGCUAUUUCAUGGGCAGGUGUGGGCAAUUCCUUCAUUAUGUCAUUAUUAAUUAAGCGGAUAAAAGGUCUGGGGUUGAUUUGAAGUGUAGUGCUUCAAUUGGGAAGAUUUUGCUGUGAACAGACAACAUGCGGUUACAGGAGCAGGUGCCCAAAGCACCAAAAACACACAGUUAAAGCACCCCAAGAGUUUAUUAAAGCAAAGAAGUGGAAUAUUGUUGAAUGGCCAAGUGAGUCACCGGUUCUUAACCCAACUGAGCAUUUCACUUGUUGAAGACUAAACUUUGGGCAAAAAGGCUUACAAACAAACAGCAACUGACAGCUGCUGCAGUAAAGGCGUGGCAGAGCAUUAGAAAGGAGGAAACCAAGCAUCUGGUGAUUUCCAUGAAUCCAAGACUUCAGGCUGCCAUUGCCAGUGAAGGCAUGGCAGCCUGAACCAAGUAACAAAGCGGACAUUUUAUUUUCAGGCAUUUAAUUUGUCCAAUUACUUUUGAGCCCCUGAAAUAAAGGGAUUGUGUUAAAAAUGCUUCAGUUCCUCACAUUUUAUGCAAUGUUUUGUUCAACCCACUGAAUUAAAGCUGGAAGCUGCACUUUAACUGCAUCUGACUUGUUUAAUUUAAAAUUCAUUGUGAUAAUGUACAGAAACAAAAUUAGAAAAAAGUUGUCUCUGUCCAAAUAUUAAUGGACCUAACUGUAUGAAUUAAUGAUUCAUAGGUGGUCUGCAGUUAAGUGUAUCAACAAGCAAAAAAAAAAAAAAAGCAUUGUUCUUUUUACAAAAAUCUCCUUUUAUUGGAUU